Molecule: ribosomal RNA, 402 nt
Filed under: uncultured bacterium
Lineage: Bacteria
Description: bacterial SSU rRNA
Rfam family: Bacterial small subunit ribosomal RNA
Source: RNAcentral
UCGGGAAUUUUGGGCAAUGGGCGAAAGCCUGACCCAGCAACGCCGCGUGAGGGAUGAAGUAUUUCGGUAUGUAAACCUCGAAAGAAUGGGAAGAAUAAAUGACGGUACCAUUUAUAAGCUCCGGCUAACUACGUGCCAGCAGCCGCGGUAAUACGUAGGGAGCAAGCGUUGUUCGGAUUUACUGGGCGUAAAGGGCGCGUAGGCGGCGCGGUAAGUCACUUGUGAAAUCUCUGAGCUUAACUCAGAACGGCCAAGUGAUACUGCUGUGCUAGAGUGCGGAAGAGGCAACCGGAAUUCUUGGUGUAGCGGUGAAAUGCGUGGAUAUCAAGAGGAACACCUGAGGCGAAGGCGGGUUGCUGGGCCGACACUGACGCUGAUGCGCGAAAGCCAGGGGAGCAAACG